GGUCCCGUAGCACAAUGGAUAGUGCAACAGAUUUCUAAUCUGUAGGUUACAGGUUCGAGCCCUGUCGGGAUCACCA
RNAcentral lists this transfer RNA (76 nucleotides) under Saprospiraceae bacterium. Its description in RNAcentral is "tRNA-Arg". It matches the Rfam family "tRNA". Rfam says of the family: Transfer RNA (tRNA) molecules are approximately 80 nucleotides in length. Their secondary structure includes four short double-helical elements and three loops (D, anti-codon, and T loops). The record is from RNAcentral. Lineage: Bacteria; Pseudomonadati; Bacteroidota; Saprospiria; Saprospirales; Saprospiraceae.